Non-coding RNA from Caenorhabditis elegans, 68 nucleotides. Lineage: Eukaryota; Metazoa; Nematoda; Chromadorea; Rhabditida; Rhabditidae. The record is from Ensembl.
UUUGAAAUUUGAGGGGCGAGAGAGAGGAGACGCAGGCGGCGAGAGUACUCUAGCUGUCUGCGUCUCUC